This 1260-nucleotide long non-coding RNA is filed under the name Sinocyclocheilus grahami. RNAcentral's name for it is "lncRNA (ENSSGRG00000041153.1)". Lineage: Eukaryota; Metazoa; Chordata; Actinopteri; Cypriniformes; Cyprinidae. The record is from RNAcentral.
UGUUUUCUCUAUCCCAUCUUUCCUAGGCCCUUCAGUCUUUAUUCCCUCGUUUGCCUGAAUCAGGUCGAGGGCCCUCUCUUUUUGAGCGCAGUGCAGGGGCCCCAGGGCCUGAUGGGGACAAGCUGAGACUGGACACUUUUCCUUUCCUCGGCUCAGGGGCUCCUUGUUACUCCAAACCUCCAUCCCUGUUGGGUCCUUACCCACGGAACCCCUCUUUUGACUACCCCUGGGGCUUCAACCCCUACCUCCCAGGGGCCUUUUCUCUGAACAACUGUCCCAAAUUGCCCCCAGGCUCCCUCUACUCCUCACAUUUCUAUCCCAACCCGCUCCAAUCCAGCCUGUCUCAGCUGUCACACCCCUUCUCUUCGCUCUUACCCCCCGGAGACACAACCGGGGCAGAACGUGGUCAAACGGGAGGAACGAAUGGCUCUGCGGGCGGUCAGCCUCCCAGACUCUGCAUCCCACCAUACCCAGGGAGCUUGCCACUGGGUCGGAUUGAGCUGGGGAACGGGGGUACGGGUUUGGGCGACCGGGAAAGAGGGGAGGCCAACACUGCUGUAACAGGUGGAGGUCUUGGUUUGGGGUUAGGCCUUGGAUUGGGUUUGGGUGGAGUUGGUGUGGGAAGCGGAGGAGGAGGCCGUCAAAGCCCUUCCGAGCGGAGGAAGGGUGUGAAGCAGGAUCCGGAGUCUGAUUCUGACCUGGAGAUCACAGACCUGAGCGACUGCAGCUCGGAGAACGAGAACGAGCCGGACUUCUCUCUGGGGAAGGAACCAGGUUUGGGUGGUCGCUCACACCUUCUAGAGGCCAAAUCUGGGGGUCUCAGGGGAGUCUUGCCCCCUCUUUCUUCUCUUCCUUCACCUGUGUCUCCGCAUCCCCUUAAAAGUCUGGCACCCCUGACUCCUCCACCAUCAUCCCUGCCUCCAUCCCUCUCUCCCUCCCUCACUAUAGCUGACAGGCACAGGGAAAAAGAGACACUUAAACUUGCUCACAGUUAAUAUGUUCUGUUGUGCGAUUUUUGAUGUCUUGCAGGUUCUCUCUUUCUCUUUUUCUGUCUGUGUAUUCCUGCAUUUGUGAAAUGAUGCUGUAUAUUCCCAUUUCAUUUUUUCCUUCCUCUUUUCCGGAGUCCUCCGAAGCCAUUCUUCGCUCAUGCUGUUCCAGUAUCAGAACUUUCAGUUUCUGCUUUCGUCAAUUUCUAAAUUGCACAGUAAGACUCUCAAUGCAAUUAGAGUUUUUGUUAUUCUGAGAGUAAAAGUGCAGCAC